AGUGCAUCAGGUGGAUGCCUUGGCGAUGAUAGGCGACGAAGGACGUGUAAGCCUGCGAAAAGCGUGGGGGAGCUGGCAAUAAAGCAAUGAUCCCGCGAUGUCCGAAUGGGGAAACCCGCUGCAUUCUGUGCAGUAUCCUAAGUUGAAUACAUAGACUUAGAGAAGCGAACCCGGAGAACUGAACCAUCUAAGUACCCGGAGGAAAAGAAAUCAACCGAGAUUCCGCAAGUAGUGGCGAGCGAACGCGGAGGAGCCUGUACGUAAUAACUGUCGAGAUAGAAGAACAAGCUGGGAAGCUUGACCAUAGUGGGUGAUAGUCCCGUAUUCGAAAUCUCAACAGUGGUACUAAGCGUACGAAAAGUAGGGCGGGACACGUGAAAUCCUGUCUGAAUAUGGGGGGACCAUCCUCCAAGGCUAAAUACUCAUCAUCGACCGAUAGUGAACCAGUACCGUGAGGGAAAGGCGAAAAGAACCCCGGGAGGGGAGUGAAAUAGAACCUGAAACCUGAUGCAUACAAACAGUGGGAGCACCCUUGUGGUGUGACUGCGUACCUUUUGUAUAAUGGGUCAACGACUUACAUUCAGUAGCGAGCUUAACCGAAUAGGGGAGGCGUAGGGAAACCGAGUCUUAAUAGGGCGAACAGUUGCUGGGUGUAGACCCGAAACCGAGUGAUCUAUCCAUGGCCAGGUUGAAGGUGCCGUAACAGGUACUGGAGGACCGAACCCACGCAUGUUGCAAAAUGCGGGGAUGAGCUGUGGAUAGGGGUGAAAGGCUAAACAAACUCGGAGAUAGCUGGUUCUCCCCGAAAACUAUUUAGGUAGUGCCUCGAGCAAGACACUGAUGGGGGUAAAGCACUGUUAUGGCUAGGGGGUUAUUGCAACUUACCAACCCAUGGCAAACUAAGAAUACCAUCAAGUGGUUCCUCGGGAGACAGACAGCGGGUGCUAACGUCCGUUGUCAAGAGGGAAACAACCCAGACCGCCAGCUAAGGUCCCAAAUGAUAGAUUAAGUGGUAAACGAAGUGGGAAGGCCCAGACAGCCAGGAUGUUGGCUUAGAAGCAGCCAUCAUUUAAAGAAAGCGUAAUAGCUCACUGGUCGAGUCGUCCUGCGCGGAAGAUGUAACGGGGCUCAAAUCUAUAACCGAAGCUGCGGAUGCCAGUUUACUGGCAUGGUAGGGGAGCGUUCUGUAGGCCGAUGAAGGUGCAUUGUAAAGUGUGCUGGAGGUAUCAGAAGUGCGAAUGUUGACAUGAGUAGCGAUAAAGCGGGUGAAAAGCCCGCUCGCCGAAAGCCCAAGGUUUCCUACGCAACGUUCAUCGGCGUAGGGUGAGUCGGCCCCUAAGGCGAGGCAGAAAUGCGUAGUCGAUGGGAAACAGGUUAAUAUUCCUGUACUUGAUUCAAAUGCGAUGUGGGGACGGAGAAGGUUAGGUUAGCAAGCUGUUGGAAUAGCUUGUUUAAGCCGGUAGGUGGAAGACUUAGGCAAAUCCGGGUCUUCUUAACACCGAGAAGUGACGACGAGUGUCUACGGACAUGAAGUAACCGAUACCACGCUUCCAGGAAAAGCCACUAAGCUUCAGUUUGAAUUGAACCGUACCGCAAACCGACACAGGUGGGCAGGAUGAGAAUUCUAAGGCGCUUGAGAGAACUCGGGAGAAGGAACUCGGCAAAUUGAUACCGUAACUUCGGGAGAAGGUAUGCCCUCUAAGGUUAAGGACUUGCUCCGUAAGCCCUGGAGGGUCGCAGAGAAUAGGUGGCUGCGACUGUUUAUUAAAAACACAGCACUCUGCUAACACGAAAGUGGACGUAUAGGGUGUGACGCCUGCCCGGUGCUGGAAGGUUAAUUGAAGAUGUGAGAGCAUCGGAUCGAAGCCCCAGUAAACGGCGGCCGUAACUAUAACGGUCCUAAGGUAGCGAAAUUCCUUGUCGGGUAAGUUCCGACCCGCACGAAUGGCGUAACGAUGGCCACACUGUCUCCUCCCGAGACUCAGCGAAGUUGAAGUGGUUGUGAAGAUGCAAUCUACCCGCUGCUAGACGGAAAGACCCCGUGAACCUUUACUGUAGCUUUGCAUUGGACUUUGAAGUCACUUGUGUAGGAUAGGUGGGAGGCUUUGAAGCAGAGACGCCAGUCUCUGUGGAGCCGUCCUUGAAAUACCACCCUGGUGUCUUUGAGGUUCUAACCCAGACCCGUAAUCCGGGUCGGGGACCGUGCAUGGUAGGCAGUUUGACUGGGGCGGUCUCCUCCCAAAGAGUAACGGAGGAGCACGAAGGUUUG
This 2269-nucleotide ribosomal RNA is filed under the name human metagenome. RNAcentral's name for it is "bacterial LSU rRNA". It matches the Rfam family "Bacterial large subunit ribosomal RNA", at positions 14 to 2320 of the family's 2925-position model. The record is from RNAcentral.